CCCUUAGAUGUUCUGGGCUGCACGCGCGCUACACUGAUGCGGUCAACGAGUUUUUCCUGACCCGAGAGGGCUGGGUAAUCUUGUUAAAUCGCAUCGUGAUGGGGAUAGAUUAUUGCAAUUAUUAAUCUUCAACGAGGAAUUCCUAGUAAGUGCGAGUCAUCAGCUCGUGCUGAUUACGUCCCUGCCCUUUGUACACACCGCCCGUCGCUCCUACCGAUUGGGUGAUCCGGUGAAUAAUUCGGACUGCAGCUUUCGGGGGCAACCCUGAUCGCAGCGGGAAGUUUGGUGAACCUUAUCACCUAGAGGAAGGAGAAGUCGUAACA
Molecule: ribosomal RNA, 323 nt
Filed under: uncultured eukaryote
Lineage: Eukaryota
Description: partial 18S ribosomal RNA
Rfam family: Eukaryotic small subunit ribosomal RNA
Source: RNAcentral